GACGAACGCUGGCGGCGUGCUUAACACAUGCCAGUCGAACGGAAAGGCCCUGCUUUUGUGGGGUGCUCGAGUGGCGAACGGGUGAGUAGCACGUGAGUAACCUGCCCUUGACUUUGGGAUAACUUCAGGAAACUGGGGCUAAUACCGGAUAGGAGCUCCUGCUGCAUGGUGGGGGUUGGAAAGUUUCGGCGGUUGGGGAUGGACUCGCGGCUUAUCAGCUUGUUGGUGGGGUAGUGGCUUACCAAGGCUUUGACGGGUAGCCGGCCUGAGAGGGUGACCGGCCACAUUGGGACUGAGAUACGGCCCAGACUCCUACGGUAGGCAGCAGUGGGGAAUAUUGCACAAUGGGCGGAAGCCUGAUGCAGCAACGCCGCGUGCGGGAUGACGGCCUUCGGGUUGUAAACCGCUUUCGCCUGUGACGAAGCGUGAGUGACGGUAAUGGGUAAAGAAGCACCGGCUAACUACGUG
RNAcentral lists this ribosomal RNA (468 nucleotides) under uncultured bacterium. RNAcentral's name for it is "partial 16S ribosomal RNA". It matches the Rfam family "Bacterial small subunit ribosomal RNA", at positions 28 to 507 of the family's 1533-position model. The record is from RNAcentral.